RNAcentral lists this ribosomal RNA (520 nucleotides) under Orthotylinae gen. ZANCGEN2 sp. Msp128. Its description in RNAcentral is "partial large subunit ribosomal RNA". It matches the Rfam family "Bacterial large subunit ribosomal RNA", at positions 1810 to 2606 of the family's 2925-position model. The record is from RNAcentral. Lineage: Eukaryota; Metazoa; Arthropoda; Insecta; Hemiptera; Miridae.
AAAACAUGGUUUUUUGUUUUAUAUAAAAAAUCUGGCCUGCUCAGUGAGUUUUAAAUAGCUGCAGUAUUUUGACUGUACAAAGGUAGCAUAAUCACUUGUCCUUUAAUUGAGGUCUGGAAUGAAUGGUUUGAUGAAAAAUAUACUUUAUUUAUUUUUAAGGAAAAAUUUAAUUUUUGAGUAAAAAAGCUUGAAAAUUUUUUUAUAGGACGAGAAGACCCUAUAGAGCUUUAUUUUAUUAUUUUUGUAUUAUAUUAGGUUAUAUAUUUUUAAUAAAAAUAGUGAAAUUUUGUUGGGGUGACAAAAAAAAUAUAAUAACUUUUUUUAAUUAUUACAUUAAUUAAUGUAUUUUUGAUCCUUUUUUUGGAAAAAAGAAUAAGCUACCUUAGGGAUAACAGCGUUAUUAUUUUGGAGAGUUCAUAUCGAUGAAAUAGUUUGCGACCUCGAUGUUGGAUUAAAAUAAGAUAUAGAAGUAGAAUGUUAUAUUCUUGGUCUGUUCGACCUUUAAAUUUUUACAUGAUCU